UAUGAAUGGUGGAGCUGCAACGGAGCAGGCAGGCUGGUAAAGUAGUCAUGGUUAGGCAAAAAUGGGACAGAGAGGAAGAAAGCGCGCAAAUGUUUUAUGAGCUGGAGCUCAUGUUCAGGGGGAUUUUUAUUCUGAGCUGCAGAAGUUUGAAAGUGAAAGACAUUGUGUCAGGUUAUGCUGGUGUAAAUGCGCACUUCGCAAAAGUUGGCUGACAUGUAUGAAAAAAACACACACUACAGAAAAACCAGCAAAGAUGUGCAAAAGUUGCGCCAGAUCACCAGUGACUCGAGUAAAUGAACUCAUUCAUUUAACGGUGCACCGUAAGAGCAAGGACUGGAAAGCAGACAAUGGCACUACUGAACUGAGAAACUGCUGAGUUGCAUUUAAAGUGUUCACUGAAGACUUUCUGAUGAAGAGGAGGAUGAAGGGAGACAAACUGGGCAGAGACACAAUGAGGAGGCAGUUUAACCACAGGACUAGAAGGCAGGUUUCCACUGCAUUCACCCAUCCAGACAAGCGAUGGGGAAACCACCUCAGCUGAGCUUAUCUGCUGCUGAGUCAGUGAGAACAUGGUCAUGAGAUGGGGAGAUGGUGACCGCAGGCUGUGGCGCUUGGUGUCGUGGUUAGCAGCUGCCGGUCCUCAGUGACCUAAACCGUUCUGUAAAUCCCUCUGGGUAUAAUUGGAUGAAGUGUUCAAAGGAAGAAUAAAGUGGAGAGGUUUGAACGGCAGUAGGCAAGACUUUAAUCGAUGCAUUGCAUCAGAGGACCAUAAAAACACCAGCUGGAGAUUUAUGUUGUUAACUUCCUCCGGUGCUUAAGUUUGUUUGGCUUGUUAACAGGUUUUUGAGCUCUGUGGCAGAUUUUUUUUUUCAACAGUGGUCUUAACACUUGGUCAUGCCGACUCUGUUGGAAUCGCAUCUGGUUAAGAAACAUGGCUAGCAAAAAAUAGGAAUUAGUUCACGAAAACAUACAUUUACAGGACGUUCCUAACGGCUGCAGCUAUAAACAAACCAAGAGCUAAAAAUCCUUAGUCAGUCUUUUUCUAGCAGCCAUAUGGUCUCAAUCUGAAUUUUUUUUUU
This is a long non-coding RNA of Cyprinodon variegatus (sheepshead minnow), 1079 nucleotides long. RefSeq lists it as uncharacterized. The transcript has 5 exons. NCBI's taxonomy places the organism in Eukaryota, Metazoa, Chordata, Actinopteri, Cyprinodontiformes, Cyprinodontidae. The record is from RefSeq and is a predicted model, not a curated record.